This 268-nucleotide small RNA is filed under the name Peromyscus maniculatus bairdii (prairie deer mouse). RNAcentral's name for it is "Metazoan signal recognition particle RNA (ENSPEMG00000005051.2)". The stretch from base 101 to 222 matches the Rfam family "Metazoan signal recognition particle RNA", at positions 114 to 235 of the family's 299-position model. Lineage: Eukaryota; Metazoa; Chordata; Mammalia; Rodentia; Cricetidae. The record is from RNAcentral.
GCUGGGGGCCCCUCAGCCAUUGGUCAGGGGGCUGAGACAGGAGGAUCGCUUGACUCCAGGAGUUCAGGGCUGUAGUGCGCCAUGCCGAUCGGGUGUCCGCACUAAGUUCGGCAUCAAUAUGGUGACCUCCCGGGAGCGGGGGACCACCAGGUUGCCUAAGGAGGGGUGAACUGGCCCAGGUCAGAAACGGAGCAGGUCAAAACUCCCGUGCUGAUCAGUGGUCCUUUGUCAUUUCUUAAGAUACUGAUUAGUGAAGAUUUUGGUUUCA